RNAcentral lists this microRNA (21 nucleotides) under Gallus gallus (chicken). RNAcentral describes it as "gga-miR-1614-5p". Lineage: Eukaryota; Metazoa; Chordata; Aves; Galliformes; Phasianidae. The record is from miRBase by way of RNAcentral.
GGCAUGGCAGACUCACCCUGC